RNAcentral lists this ribosomal RNA (505 nucleotides) under uncultured bacterium. RNAcentral describes it as "bacterial SSU rRNA". It matches the Rfam family "Bacterial small subunit ribosomal RNA", at positions 25 to 518 of the family's 1533-position model. The record is from RNAcentral.
CAGGACGAACGCUGGCGGCGUGCCUAACACAUGCAAGUCGAGCGGGGACAUACGACGGAUCGGAAGUUUCGGAUGGAAGAGAAGAUGUAUGUUCUAGCGGCGGACGGGUGAGUAACGCGUGAGCAACCUGUCCUUCACAGGGGGAUAACACAGCGAAAGUUGUACUAAUACCGCAUGAGACCACACUGGGACAUCCCAGAGGGGUCAAAGGAGCAAUCCGGUGAAGGGUGGGCUCGCGUCCGAUUAGAUAGUUGGUGAGGUAACGGCCCACCAAGUCGACGAUCGGUAGCCGACCUGAGAGGGUGAUCGGCCACAUUGGGACUGAGACACGGCCCAAACUCCUACGGGAGGCAGCAGUGGGGAAUAUUGGGCAAUGGGGGAAACCCUGACCCAGCAACGCCGCGUGAGGGAAGAAGGUUUUCGGAUCGUAAACCUCUGUCCUUGGUGAAGAGUAAGAGACGGUAGCCAAGGAGGAAGCCCCGGCUAACUACGUGCCAGCCGCCGC